Molecule: ribosomal RNA, 557 nt
Filed under: fungal sp. 51630
Lineage: Eukaryota; Fungi
Description: eukaryotic LSU rRNA
Rfam family: 5.8S ribosomal RNA (bases 187-340)
Source: RNAcentral
GGUCUCCGUUGGUGAACCAGCGGAGGGAUCAUUACCGAGUUAUACAACUCAUCAACCCUGUGAACAUACCUAAAACGUUGCUUCGGCGGGAACAGACGGCCCCGUAACACGGGCCGCCCCCGCCAGAGGACCCCCUAACUCUGUUUCUAUUAUGUUUCUUCUGAGUAAAACAAGCAAAUAAAUUAAAACUUUCAACAACGGAUCUCUUGGCUCUGGCAUCGAUGAAGAACGCAGCGAAAUGCGAUAAGUAAUGUGAAUUGCAGAAUUCAGUGAAUCAUCGAAUCUUUGAACGCACAUUGCGCCCGCCAGUAUUCUGGCGGGCAUGCCUGUUCGAGCGUCAUUACAACCCUCAGGCCCCCGGGCCUGGCGUUGGGGAUCGGCGAGGCGCCCCCUGCGGGCACACGCCGUCCCCCAAAUACAGUGGCGGUCCCGCCGCAGCUUCCAUUGCGUAGUAGCUAACACCUCGCAACUGGAGAGCGGCGCGGCCACGCCGUAAAACACCCAACUUCUGAAUGUUGACCUCGAAUCAGGUAGGAAUACCCGCUGAACUUAAGCAU